GAAAUGCGAUAAGUAAUGUGAAUUUCAGAAUUCAGUGAAUCAUCGAAUCUUUGAACGCACAUUGCGCCCCCUGGUAUUCCGGGGGGCAUGCCUGUUCGAGCGUCAUUUCACCACUCAAGCCUCGCUUGGUAUUGGGCGACGCGGUCCGCCGCGCGCCUCAAAUCGACCGGCUGGGUCUUUCGUCCCCUCAGCGUUGUGGAAACUAUUCGCUAAAGGGUGCCGCGGGAGGCCACGCCGUAAAACAACCCCAUUUCUAAGGUUGACCUCGGAUCAGGUAGGGAUACCCGCUGAACUUAAGC
RNAcentral lists this unclassified non-coding RNA (299 nucleotides) under plant metagenome. RNAcentral's name for it is "partial contains 5.8S ribosomal RNA, internal transcribed spacer 2, and large subunit ribosomal RNA". The stretch from base 1 to 105 matches the Rfam family "5.8S ribosomal RNA", at positions 50 to 154 of the family's 154-position model. The record is from RNAcentral.